CGGAGCCAAUGCCGAGCCCACACCUCACGGACAUCCCGCCCCCGCCGAGGUAAGCGGAACGCCCCGAGCUGGCUGCGCGCCGCUGGCGCUUCUUGGAGCCUUUGGCCAGCGAGUUCCCCCGUGGCCACUUGCAAGAAGGUGAGGACCAGAACAAAGUGUGCAAGAACCUUUAAAGACUUUAGACGUCAUCCAACCCCUUAACCAAAGACCACCCGAAAACAUCAUACAUGCGUCACAGAAAGAGGCGGUCUACAACAGAAAUUUGAGAGUAUUUCCUUCUGCAGAGGAAGUUGGAGUGCAAAGAUGACUUUUGGGGGGUUAUUCUGUGUGUGAAGUGUGUGUCUGCUAUGUGUGCACCCUAAAAUUUUUACAGCACCUCCAAUUUAGGUGAAAUUAACUCGUGUGUCUUUCUAUGUGUGCAACCUACCUGCUCCUAAAGUAGGAUAAUGUUGCACAUCUGAUGACAUGGCCUCUCAAUUAAAGUCAAGAGUCCACCUGUGAGCUCAACUGAAUUGCCUGUAGCAGGGCAUGAAAAACAAUAGCUGUUAUUAACAUUAUUAAAAUCCAAUGUUAAUUUGAAAACAAAUUGCCAACCUGCUCAUGUUACAGUAUUACAAGGGUGUCAAAUGCAAUAAUAAAAUCCUGCUAAAGCCCAACCAAUUUCCAAAUUUAAACUUAAAAUAUAUAAAAUAUAAUAUAAAAUAUAUAACCCACUCACAAUAGCUCACGGGCCUUCCGAGACAUCAUUUCUCUAACCGCCUCUAGCUGCUACAUUGUACUUGUCAGCAGAACUGUCCAUAAUCUUUAAAUUGCUAUGUAAAUAACAUUUUGGUCUCUAUGAAGUUAUAUUGUUUUCAAAUGCAGCAGUUCAAAUUUUCAUUUCCCAUACCGUGAAUGUGUCCCGUGUCAUGCAAACACCCAGCAGGCAAAUUUAGCAACAGUGGAAACAACUGCAAACUUGUAACCCCAGAUAUUAUAGCGUCUUGGGGUUUUUUUAUAUAGCUAAAGAACCUACUUUUAAGUGUGUUCAUUCAGCCCCACUGAAUUCCUUCCUGAAACAUUUAUGUAGUGCUGCCAACACUCUCUAUUCCUUCAAACCUCCACUCAAAACUCACCUUUCCACGAAACCUUUGACUCAACUGCCUUAGGGCCGAACUGUAACCACACUAUAUUAAAUGUGUGAUUGCAUUUAAUAUGUCUGUUUUGGUGCCGUUAAACAGCAGCCACGGGGAAGUCAAUGUCGGGACCACAAUGCAACGUAAUAACCAUUA
Molecule: non-coding RNA, 1271 nt
Organism: Podarcis muralis (Common wall lizard)
Lineage: Eukaryota; Metazoa; Chordata; Lepidosauria; Squamata; Lacertidae
Source: RefSeq, a predicted model, not a curated record